RNAcentral lists this ribosomal RNA (464 nucleotides) under Vreelandella stevensii. RNAcentral's name for it is "partial 16S ribosomal RNA". It matches the Rfam family "Bacterial small subunit ribosomal RNA", at positions 338 to 795 of the family's 1533-position model. Lineage: Bacteria; Pseudomonadati; Pseudomonadota; Gammaproteobacteria; Oceanospirillales; Halomonadaceae. The record is from RNAcentral.
CCUACGGCGGCAGCAGUGGGGAAUAUUGGACAAUGGGCGAAAGCCUGAUCCAGCCAUGCCGCGUGUGUGAAGAAGGCCUUCGGGUUGUAAAGCACUUUCAGUGGGGAAGAAAGCCUUGGGGCUAAUACCCUCGAGGAAGGACAUCACCCACAGAAGAAGCACCGGCUAACUCCGUGCCAGCAGCCGCGGUAAUACGGAGGGUGCGAGCGUUAAUCGGAAUUACUGGGCGUAAAGCGCGCGUAGGCGGUCUGAUAAGCCGGUUGUGAAAGCCCCGGGCUCAACCUGGGAACGGCAUCCGGAACUGUCAGGCUAGAGUGCAGGAGAGGAAGGUAGAAUUCCCGGUGUAGCGGUGAAAUGCGUAGAGAUCGGGAGGAAUACCAGUGGCGAAGGCGGCCUUCUGGACUGACACUGACGCUGAGGUGCGAAAGCGUGGGUAGCAAACAGGAUUAGAUACCCGAGUAGUC